RNAcentral lists this ribosomal RNA (437 nucleotides) under uncultured bacterium. RNAcentral's name for it is "partial 16S ribosomal RNA". It matches the Rfam family "Bacterial small subunit ribosomal RNA", at positions 29 to 507 of the family's 1533-position model. The record is from RNAcentral.
AGCGAACGCUGGCGGCAGGCUUAACACAUGCAAGUCGAGCGGGCAUCCUUGUGGUGUCAGCGGCAGACGGGUGAGUAACGCGUGGGAACGUGCCCUUCGGUUCGGAAUGACUCAGGGAAACUUGAGCUAAUACCGGAUACGUGCGAGAGCAGAAAGGGGUAUCUGCCGAAGGAUCGGCCCGCGUCUGAUUAGCUAGUUGGUGAGGUUACGGCUCACCAAGGCGACGAUCAGUAGCUGGUCUGAGAGGAUGAUCAGCCACACUGGGACUGAGACACGGCCCAGACUCCUACGGGAGGCAGCAGUGGGGAAUAUUGGACAAUGGGGGCAACCCUGAUCCAGCCAUGCCGCGUGAGUGAUGACGGCCUUAGGGUUGUAAAGCUCUUUUCUCCGGGACGAUAAUGACGGUACCGGAGGAAUAAGCCCCGGCUAACUUCGUG